GGACAGAGAAACUACUGUUGAUUUUUCGCGGACGAAAAAGUCCCAACUAAGAACAAUCUUGUAGAAGCGGGCAAUGGAAGCGUCUUCUUCAAGCUUGUCUUUGUCCACAGCCAUUGAGAGACACAGAGUGACUGAAACAGAGUUUUCAAAUUCUCAGUGAGAAAGGGGUUAAUGCACAAGAUUUUUGGCCAAAGGUAUUUAAUUGAUAACAACUGUCUCAUCACACUUGUGUCUCUGGCUUUCAUCCUCUCAGAGAUUUGGACUUGGAUUGCCACCUGGUGUGGUGGUGAUUAUGGAUCAAUCUCACUCAGUGCCAGUGGUGGUGAGUUCUGAUAUGUGAAUUUUUGUCUUCGAGGAAUCGAAUAUCUGAACCUGAAUAUCCUUCUGCAGCCUUUCCAGCAACAAAUCGUAAGAAAACUUCUCCUAAUCAGGCUCUACUGUCAGGAGCUCCUCAAACUUGGCAUUUCUUUCUUCUGGUUCAGGCCGAGGCAUAAGUUCUAAUUUUUCAUGGUCAAUGGAUGGAGAACACGAUUAAUCAACAUACACAAGUGACAUUAGUGAGGAGAAUCAAACUUAUGAUCUUGGGUGCAUAAAUGAAUGUUCUUAACCACUCGAGCUACAAGUUUUGCGGAUGCUCAAUAUACUUGAUCAUGUAAAAAACUGCCUCAUGCAUUGAUACAUAGAUAGAUGAGAAUGCAAACAAGGGCCAAAGUCCUUGUUCCAUAUCUAUACCAAAGGAUGGGUCAAAGUAAGUGUUGUGUAUUUUCUGAGUGCUUCCCGUCCAUUAUCCCAAAACUAGUUAUUGCGUU
Molecule: non-coding RNA, 809 nt
Organism: Prunus avium (sweet cherry)
Lineage: Eukaryota; Viridiplantae; Streptophyta; Magnoliopsida; Rosales; Rosaceae
Source: RefSeq, a predicted model, not a curated record